UAGGGAAUAUUGGACAAUGGGCGAAAGCCUGAUCCAGCCAUGCCGCGUGGUAGAUGAAGGCCCUCUGGGUUGUAAAUACCUUUUAUCUGGGAAGAAAUAUCUCAUUCUUGAGAAACUGACGGUACCAGAUGAAUAAGCACCGGCUAACUCCGUGCCAGCAGCCGCGGUAAUACGGAGGGUGCAAGCGUUAUCCGGAUUUACUGGGUUUAAAGGGUGCGUAGGCGGAAUUGUAAGUCAGUGGUGAAAGCCCCGAGCUUAACUUGGGAAUUGCCAUUGAUACUGCUUUUCUUGAAUACGAUUGAGGUAAGCGGAAUGUUGCAUGUAGCGGUGAAAUGCUUAGAUAUGUUACAGAACACCAAUUGCGAAGGCAGCUUACUAAGUCGUUAUUGACGCUGAGGCA
Molecule: ribosomal RNA, 400 nt
Filed under: uncultured bacterium
Lineage: Bacteria
Description: bacterial SSU rRNA
Rfam family: Bacterial small subunit ribosomal RNA
Source: RNAcentral